GAAUCUUCGGUGGUCCCAUAGGCGACAUUGCAUUGCGCUGCAGCACGCUCAUGUUGGCUCGAUUAAGCGAAUUACCCAGCAUAGGUAAGCCAGAAGAAUUAGGCAACAUCUGGUUGGUAUUUCCCGGCAUACCAGCCAUCCCAGACUGCGGACUGUACAUCCCCGAUCUGUUCUGAUUCACUGCCAUCCUCAGCUUCGAUGCUAUCGCAGCUGCAUGAGCGACUGACAUCGAUC
RNAcentral lists this unclassified non-coding RNA (234 nucleotides) under Hevea brasiliensis (rubber tree). The record is from RNAcentral. Lineage: Eukaryota; Viridiplantae; Streptophyta; Magnoliopsida; Malpighiales; Euphorbiaceae.